GACAGAGGUGCCAAGCGUUAGGCGGAAUCACUGGGCUUAAAGCGUGUGUAGGCGGAUUGGCAAGUACCUUGUGAAAUCCCACGGCUCAACCGUGGAACUGCUUGGUAUACUGCUUUUCUUGAGCCACUUAGGGGCAACCGGAACAAACGGUGGAGCGGUGAAAUGCGUAGAUAUCGUUUGGAACGCCAAUGGUGAAAACAGGUUGCUGGGAGUGUGCUGACGCUGAGACACGAAAGCCAGGGGAGCAAACGGG
This 253-nucleotide ribosomal RNA is filed under the name uncultured bacterium. Its description in RNAcentral is "partial 16S ribosomal RNA". It matches the Rfam family "Bacterial small subunit ribosomal RNA", at positions 524 to 776 of the family's 1533-position model. The record is from RNAcentral.